RNAcentral lists this ribosomal RNA (428 nucleotides) under uncultured prokaryote. RNAcentral's name for it is "bacterial SSU rRNA". It matches the Rfam family "Bacterial small subunit ribosomal RNA", at positions 355 to 774 of the family's 1533-position model. The record is from RNAcentral.
UAGGGAAUCUUCCGCAAUGGACGAAAGUCUGACGGAGCAACGCCGCGUGAGUGAUGAAGGUUUUCGGAUCGUAAAGCUCUGUUGUUAGGGAAGAACAAGUACCGUUCGAAUAGGGCGGCACCUUGACGGUACCUAACCAGAAAGCCACGGCUAACUACGUGCCAGCAGCCGCGGUAAUACGUAGGUGGCAAGCGUUGUCCGGAAUUAUUGGGCGUAAAGGGCUCGCAGGCGGUUUCUUAAGUCUGAUGUGAAAGCCCCCGGCUCAACCGGGGAGGGUCAUUGGAAACUGGUGAACUUGAGUGCAGAAGAGGAGAGUGGAAUUCCACGUGUAGCGGUGAAAUGCGUAGAGAUGUGGAGGGACACCAGUGGCGAAGGCGACUCUCUGGUCUGUAACUGACGCUGAGUAGCGAAGGCGUGGGGGGCGUGCA